UAGACACGCUGACCCAUGGGUCUAUUUCACCUUGGACUUUUUCGUGCUGUCUAGCACUCCUGAGUGUCAUCCCACUGAGCCCGCCUCCUGGCAGACACAGGACAGUUGUCAAGCAGAGACACUGAGAGAGAGGUUUAUGUGAUUGGCACCAGGAGUGACCCAUCCCAACAUCCAUCAUCAUCAUCAUUGCAUUCGUUUCUCUCCCUUGGGUUUGCAGCUGUAGGAAAAAAGGACCGAGCUUCUGCCCCAGUGACUGUCUUCGCGGCUGGAGAGAGAGAGAGACAAGGGGCUGAUCCUUGCAGAAGAGCAGAGACACCCACAGUUUUGGGAGGAUGGGAAAAAUCUGGGGAUCACCAGUUGUGCUGCUUCUUGUUUUGAGUGCCCCAGGCAGAGCCGAGAUCCAGCAGCCGGUCUCAGCGGAAGCUUUGGAGGGAGCUGAAUUGAACCUCACCUGCUCUCACCCCUCAGCCAGCAGUGAUGAUAUAUUCUGGUACCGGCAGUUUCCGAACCGAGGACCCGAAUUUAUAGUGACUGGAUUCAGUGCAACCGCUCACAGCCCCGACCCAGAGGGAACUUUGCACAUCUCUAAGGAUAAAGAAAACAGCACCUUCGCCCUGCGUAGGCUGAGGCUGGCAGACGCAGCGGUGUAUUACUGUGCUCGGAGAAACACAGUGGGACAGCCAGGGGCAGCCCCUGUACGAUAAAUCCCCUACUCCAGGGAUGGGUGCUAGUGUGUGUC
Molecule: non-coding RNA, 739 nt
Organism: Dermochelys coriacea (leatherback sea turtle)
Lineage: Eukaryota; Metazoa; Chordata; Testudines; Dermochelyidae
Source: the annotation of a RefSeq genome assembly